AAAUUGAAGAGUUUGAUCAUGGCUCAGAUUGAACGCUGGCGGCAGGCCUAACACAUGCAAGUCGAACGGUAACAGGAAGCAGCUUGCUGCUUCGCUGACGAGUGGCGGACGGGUGAGUAAUGUCUGGGAAACUGCCUGAUGGAGGGGGAUAACUACUGGAAACGGUGGCUAAUACCGCAUAACGUCGCAAGACCAAAGAGGGGGACCUUCGGGCCUCUUGCCAUCAGAUGUGCCCAGAUGGGAUUAGCUUGUUGGUGAGGUAACGGCUCACCAAGGCGACGAUCCCUAGCUGGUCUGAGAGGAUGACCAGCCACACUGGAACUGAGACACGGUCCAGACUCCUACGGGAGGCAGCAGUGGGGAAUAUUGCACAAUGGGCGCAAGCCUGAUGCAGCCAUGCCGCGUGUAUGAAGAAGGCCUUCGGGUUGUAAAGUACUUUCAGCGGGGAGGAAGGUGUUGCGGUUAAUAACCGCAGCAAUUGACGUUACCCGCAGAAGAAGCACCGGCUAACUCCGUGCCAGCAGCCGCGGUAAUACGGAGGGUGCAAGCGUUAAUCGGAAUUACUGGGCGUAAAGCGCACGCAGGCGGUCUGUCAAGUCGGAUGUGAAAUCCCCGGGCUCAACCUGGGAACUGCAUUCGAAACUGGCAGGCUUGAGUCUUGUAGAGGGGGGUAGAAUUCCAGGUGUAGCGGUGAAAUGCGUAGAGAUCUGGAGGAAUACCGGUGGCGAAGGCGGCCCCCUGGACAAAGACUGACGCUCAGGUGCGAAAGCGUGGGGAGCAAACAGGAUUAGAUACCCUGGUAGUCCACGCCGUAAACGAUGUCUACUUGGAGGUUGUGCCCUUGAGGCGUGGCUUCCGGAGCUAACGCGUUAAGUAGACCGCCUGGGGAGUACGGCCGCAAGGUUAAAACUCAAAUGAAUUGACGGGGGCCCGCACAAGCGGUGGAGCAUGUGGUUUAAUUCGAUGCAACGCGAAGAACCUUACCUGGUCUUGACAUCCACAGAACUUUCCAGAGAUGGAUUGGUGCCUUCGGGAAC
This 1037-nucleotide ribosomal RNA is filed under the name Salmonella enterica subsp. enterica serovar Havana. RNAcentral's name for it is "bacterial SSU rRNA". It matches the Rfam family "Bacterial small subunit ribosomal RNA", at positions 1 to 1027 of the family's 1533-position model. The record is from RNAcentral. Lineage: Bacteria; Pseudomonadati; Pseudomonadota; Gammaproteobacteria; Enterobacterales; Enterobacteriaceae.